UCAUCCAACAUUUUUCACCCUAUAAACUGUAAUGUAAACUUCAAUUUUAGUCAAGUCUUUAUAAAUAUUAAAGUUAAUUUUUCUUUGUUAUUUAUUUUAAGUUAACUUCAUACUUACGGUUACUCUACUUAAAUUAAGAACAGGAACGUUAAUAAUCGUUAUUGAGCGCUUUUUAAAAAAAUAAACAAAUUAUAGAGGGUUACCGUACUGUAGAAUUAAAUUUUCUAAUCCAUAAACGUCACUACACUAAUAGUAAAGACAUUUAUAACCAUAUCAAUUUCUGUUGUUUUACAAUUUUCGUGAAACUACUACUUUCAUACUAAAGUUGAAAUUUGAUGUCUCAUCAUGAGUGACUCAAAUUCGGGUUCAAAGAGGGGAAGGGGAUCAUCGUUUUGGCGUGGAAGGGGAAAUUGGAGAGGAAGAGGAAAUUGGAAAGCGCGAGGAAACUGGAGGGGUAGAGGGAAUGGAGGCUACAACAGACCAAACAACACAAACGACCGAGAACAAGUUAAUGAUGGAAUUCAGUGCUCGCCUGAGGAGUCGUACACAACGCCCACAGAGCUCACCAAACAGAUUGCCAUCGACAGACUGUUCACUCCAAUACCAGGCUGCUACAAAGCAUGGAAGCUGUAUUUUCCUAUGGAAGAGUAUAACACAGCUUCGCCAACAGUUAACAAAAUAAAAUCGUUCGAGAAGUACAUCAAUAAAAACAAAGAUCUGUUCAUCAUUUCUGAAAUUGAGAAAAGGAAAGCCUUCAAUCUAGAUCUGAAAGUUUUGAAAAGAGACGUCGAAUUUAUGGACGACUGGUCAGAUUUCGAAGAGAACUUAUCCAAUCAGCCUGAUCUCUCUCUUAAUUGUCUGUCCCUUGCUAUGCAUCAGUUUGUUUUGACUCAUAUGGAAAAAGAACUUGAAGAAGAGAAUGUGGUAACAGAAAUAAGUCUUCCAAUGAUAAAAGUGAGACUCAUCAAUUACGAGCCAGUGGUGCAGAUGAAGCAUUUGACCGCUAAUACAUACGGUAAACUGGUAGCAAUUGAGGGCACAGUGAUCCGUGUGGGGCAGAUGAAGCUAUUGUGCGCAUGGCUUGCGUUUGGCUGCAAACGGUGUGCGCAUGUGCAGUGCGUGGCGCAGACAGACGGCGCAUGCACCCUCCCCACCUCAUGUCUGCAGGCCACCUGUCAGUCGCGAUCAUUCACGCCGCUCUACUCGUCGCCCUACACGCAGACUGUCAACUGGCAAACUGUCAAGCUCCAGGAGAUACUUGCUGAUGAUCAGAGGGACAGAGGCAGAGUGCCUAGAACAGUUGAGUGUGAACUCAAUGACGAACUGGUUGAUUGCUGCUCCCCUGGUGAUGUUGUUUCAAUCACUGGAAUCGUUAAAAUACGCAGCAGUGAUGAAAGCUCAUAUAGAAAAAGUAAAGCACCAAGUGUCUACCUGAUUUAUAUUGAAGGUAAAUCCGUUUUGAACACGAAGAAUUAUUCAUCUGCACCUAAGCAAAGUAGUGAUGUCGAAUUCACUACAAACGACUACUAUGCAAUUCAGGAGUUGCAAGCGAACGCACAGCUGUUUCGGCUGGCGGUGAACUCGCUGUGUCCUUCGAUCUACGGCCACGAAAUGGUGAAAGCGGGACUGCUGUUGGGCCUGCUGGGGGGUGCAGGGGGCUGCCGGAGGGGGGACUCCCACAUACUCGUGGUCGGUGACCCCGGGCUGGGAAAGUCACAGAUGCUACAGGCUUGCUCCAUGAUAGCUCCCCGAGGAGUUUAUGUGUGCGGCAACACUAGUACGUCAUCUGGACUAACAGUGACCCUGACGCGGGAGGGUGGAGGCAAUUUUGCACUGGAAGCCGGAGCUCUUGUGCUGGCAGACCAAGGCUGCUGUUGCAUUGAUGAGUUCGACAAAAUGUCAUCUCAACAUCAGGCUCUGCUGGAAGCAAUGGAACAGCAAGUGAUCAGCAUCACGAAGGCGGGCAUAAUUUGCACGCUGCCAGCUCGAACAUCCAUCUUGGCAGCAGCCAAUCCGGUUGGCGGCCAUUACAAUCGGGCAAAAACUGUUUCAGAAAACUUACGACUCGGAUCUGCUCUACUGUCCAGAUUUGACCUGGUUUUCAUUCUUCAAGAUCGACCAGAUGAGUACUUGGAUACCCUUCUAUCUGAGCAUGUGAUGUCUCUCUACUCAAAUCUGAAACAUUCGAGUAACGCAGAUGAGACUUCCUCGUUUGUCGGCAGCAUGUCGUGCACUGAACCCGAUGUAUUCAAUCCAAAUGUUCCACUCAGUAAACGGUUAAAACUGUGUCCCGGAGAAGAGAUCAGUCCCAUAUCAGCAGUGCUGCUGAGGAAAUACAUCGCUUAUGCUAAGAAGUACAUUCCUUCUCCUGAGCUGUCGGCGGAGGCGGCAACCGUGCUACAGAAUUUCUACUUGGAGCUGAGGAGACAGCAUCAGACUCUCGAUGCCACGCCCAUCACAACUCGUCAGCUCGAAUCGCUUAUUCGACUAACACAGGCUAGAGCCAAACUGGAGCUACGAGAAAUAGCGACUGCUUUGGAUGCCAUCGAAGUGGUGGAGCUGAUGCGAUGGAGCAUGGUGGACACAUUCACCACCGAUAUUGGCGGUCUCGAUUUCCAGCGAUCCCAGCAUGGCUCUGGAAUGAGCUCGAGGAAUCAAGCCAAACGUUUCAUAAGUGUUCUACAAAGACAAGCGGACCACAAAGGCAGUUCAAUGUUUAGUGUUGAUGAGAUGAAAGACACGGCCGCCACAAACAAUAUUGUAGUCAACGAUUUCUUCGCUUUCCUCUCAUCCUUGAACAAUCAUGGAUUUCUCAUAAAAAAGGGCAAAAAUCAGUAUCAGCUACUGAGCGUGGACUAUUAGUUGGCUGGUUCAGAAUAACACUCGUACUGUUUGGCAGUUUGAAAUCAUGUUGCAGUCGAUGGGAAGUUUGGCAGUUUGCGAAGUUUUUUAUGUUGUUUCAGAAGCAAAUGUAGAAGAUUUUUAAAACUUUCGUGUCACGAAGAGAAUUGGAAAGCAUUCUAGCUAUAAAUUACUAAACUUCAAAAUGGGAAUUUGAAAGAAAGAUCUUUUCAAAAAUGUUGAUAAAAUAAUAAACAAUAUUAUUAUGGUUAGUUUAGUUGAUUAUUAUUUUCCUAAUGUGGAUAAGAAUUUCCCAAAUCUAUACUUACUCAAUCAUGUGUCAAGUAAUACUGAUAGUAAUACCUUCAAGCUAUAUUCCUGUAUUCUGUGAUCAAUAAAAAUGUAUCAAUAAAACAAGGAAAUCCAACUAGCAGUUUAUUAUUUCUCUUUUUUAUUUAUUUUUCGAAUAUAAUAUAUCUUGUAUUCUUCGUUGUGGUCAAAUGGAUGCAAGGCAUUUUAAUUAAUUUGUUGUCUCUGUGCAUAAGAUUCAAUUCCUGUCAAUGUUAUUUUUGUAAGUCAUGGAAACAAAAAACAAAGGAAAAGAAAAGGCAGCCUUCAAAAAGUAAGCAAUGCUUGAACGGAACCAUGGAUAUCAAUUAAAAAAUUCAGAAUGAGUUAAAAUUUGUACUGUUCAAAUUUCAGCAAGAAAAACAUGAUCAAUCGAUAUUUUUACAAAGUAUUAUACUCCCUUCCAGCUCCUCCCCCAUUCAAUCAAAUGAUAGAUAUCAUAUUUCUGGUUAGAAUAAAUAUGGCAGUCACACAACACUUGCAAAAUACUCAUGUAAA
Molecule: unclassified non-coding RNA, 3687 nt
Filed under: Nilaparvata lugens (brown planthopper)
Lineage: Eukaryota; Metazoa; Arthropoda; Insecta; Hemiptera; Delphacidae
Description: dNA helicase MCM8, transcript variant X2
Source: RNAcentral